RNAcentral lists this Y RNA (86 nucleotides) under Carlito syrichta (Philippine tarsier). Its description in RNAcentral is "Y RNA (ENSTSYG00000021635.2)". It matches the Rfam family "Y RNA". From Rfam's summary of the family: Y RNAs are components of the Ro ribonucleoprotein particle (Ro RNP), in association with Ro60 and La proteins. The Y RNAs and Ro60 and La proteins are well conserved, but the function of the Ro RNP is not known. In humans the RNA component can be one of four small RNAs -- hY1, hY3, hY4 and hY5. Lineage: Eukaryota; Metazoa; Chordata; Mammalia; Primates; Tarsiidae. The record is from Rfam by way of RNAcentral.
UGCUGGUCAGAGUGCAGCGGUGUUUACUACUAAUUGAUCACAACCAGUUCCUUCGCCAACCCACUGCUUCACUUGACUAGCCUUUA